This 383-nucleotide long non-coding RNA is filed under the name Astyanax mexicanus (Mexican tetra). Its description in RNAcentral is "lncRNA (ENSAMXG00005017398.1)". Lineage: Eukaryota; Metazoa; Chordata; Actinopteri; Characiformes; Acestrorhamphidae. The record is from RNAcentral.
CCUCAGCACGUCUCAAAAAAGCUCAGUGACUAAAGAAGGAAUAUAUAACGUACAGAAUAUAGAACUUAUGGAAUAUAAUUAGAGUUGAAUACUGGCAGUGAGUUUGAAAGGUGGGGAAGACUUAAGUUUAAAAAGACUACAAGACCUGCUACUACAGAGCUGCUACUUUUCUCCUGAGCAGAUCCUGCCAGAGUGCAAUACAGCACUGCCAAUCAGGAAGAAACAGUAAGUCUGUAGAAGAAGAAAAGCAGCGCCCAUAAAGAGACCACCUACUAACCUACUAUGCGCUUUAUAAUAGCAAAUGUACUGUAGAUCAUGAAAAGUCAAUGUAAACCCAUUUUAUUUCCACUUUGAACAAAUUCUGUCACUUAUUUUGAUAUCAG